Phrynosoma platyrhinos (Desert horned lizard) is the source of this 70-nucleotide non-coding RNA. Lineage: Eukaryota; Metazoa; Chordata; Lepidosauria; Squamata; Phrynosomatidae. The record is from the annotation of a GenBank genome assembly.
GCCAGAAUGGUGUAGUGGUUUGAGCUCUGGACUGACUCUGGAGACUAGGGUUCAAUUCCCCACUCAGCCA